This 481-nucleotide ribosomal RNA is filed under the name uncultured bacterium. RNAcentral describes it as "bacterial SSU rRNA". It matches the Rfam family "Bacterial small subunit ribosomal RNA", at positions 576 to 1054 of the family's 1533-position model. The record is from RNAcentral.
CGGUUUGUCGCGUCUGUCGUGAAAAUCCGGGGCUUAACCCCGGAUCUGCGGUGGGUACGGGCAGACUAGAGUGCAGUAGGGGAGACUGGAAUUCCUGGUGUAGCGGUGGAAUGCGCAGAUAUCAGGAGGAACACCGAUGGCGAACGCAGGUCUCUGGGCUGUAACUGACGCUGAGGAGCGAAAGCAUGGGGAGCGAACAGGAUUAGAUACCCUGGUAGUCCAUGCCGUAAACGUUGGGCACUAGGUGUGGGGACCAUUCCACGGUUUCCGCGCCGCAGCUAACGCAUUAAGUGCCCCGCCUGGGGAGUACGGCCGCAAGGCUAGAACUCAAAGGAAUUGACGGGGGCCCGCACAAGCGGCGGAGCAUGCGGAUUAAUUCGAUGCAACGCGAAGAACCUUACCAAGGCUUGACAUGUGCUCGAUCGCCGUAGAGAUACGGUUUCCCCUUUGGGGUGGGUUCACAGGUGGUGCAUGGUUGUCG